Molecule: long non-coding RNA, 368 nt
Organism: Conger conger (European conger)
Lineage: Eukaryota; Metazoa; Chordata; Actinopteri; Anguilliformes; Congridae
Exons: 3
Source: RefSeq, a predicted model, not a curated record
UUCACGCGCGCGAGGCUGUUCCGCUAAUGCACACAGGGCUUGGACAAAAUAACCAAAACAACACAAGAAAAAUGACUUCAAUUUUGAAGCGACAGAAUCGCAAUUAGAAAAGCAAUUGCGCAGAUUCUCAGGCAGAAAACAAAGUGUCCAGGUGGGUGGCAAACAGUCAGCGACCCAAAGCUGAUCAUUAGGAGUGCCACAGGGGGCGACGUGGCUCGGGCAGUAAGAGCAGUCGUCUGGCAGUCGGAGGGUUGCCGGUUCGAACCCCCGCCUGGGCUGUGUCGAAGUGUCCCUGAGCAAGACACCUAAAUGCUCCUGAUGAGCUGGUCGGUGCCUUGCAUGGCAGCCAAUCGCCGUUGGUGUGUGAA